ACAUUUUGCACAGAUUGAUGCGCCGACUUAUUGAGACUUCAGCUUAUUCACCGUAUCCCCAAGAGAUAGAUAACUCCAUUCAUACCCUUCUCAUCUUGGUGCAUGUUGUAACCUUGUCUGACACACCCACCGCUAGCCUGGCUCACCACAGAUCCUGGAGGUAACCGGCUCUAUCUAGCCUACUGCUCCCAAUAAGUGA
This is a long non-coding RNA of Etheostoma cragini (Arkansas darter), 199 nucleotides long. RefSeq lists it as uncharacterized. Lineage: Eukaryota; Metazoa; Chordata; Actinopteri; Perciformes; Percidae. The record is from RefSeq and is a predicted model, not a curated record. The transcript has 4 exons.